CUACCUUGCUAUGACUUUUGAGAUGUUACUCAGAUGGGUUAGUCGAAACUAAUUAGACCUAAAAAAAGCAGUUAAUUGCCUAUUCAAAAUAUAAUAAAAAUUAUAAAAUAAAGAAUAACUACACUAACUAUUCAAAUAAAUGAAUAAUCAAAUCAAUUUUCUAUCGUUUAAUUUAUUAAUUAAAAUAAAGAAACAAACAGAAAGAGAUAUAUAAAUAAUAAACCAAUAUAUUAUUACUUAGAAUGUGUGACCUUUUUUAAAAUCUACUUCGCGGCGCUUUCCCCCAAGCUGAACUUCUCCCCAGCGACAGACGGUU
This 316-nucleotide ribosomal RNA is filed under the name Naucoria celluloderma. Its description in RNAcentral is "partial small subunit ribosomal RNA". Lineage: Eukaryota; Fungi; Basidiomycota; Agaricomycetes; Agaricales. The record is from RNAcentral.